RNAcentral lists this unclassified non-coding RNA (186 nucleotides) under uncultured fungus. Its description in RNAcentral is "partial contains 18S rRNA, ITS1, 5.8S rRNA, ITS2 and 28S rRNA". The record is from RNAcentral. Lineage: Eukaryota; Fungi.
AAGGAUCAUUCAUAAUAAGUGUUUUAUGGCACUUUUUAAAUCCAUAUCCACCUUGUGUGCAAUGUCAGUCGUUCUCUUUUUUUGAGAGCGACCAAACAUCAACUUAUUCUUUAACUCUUUGUCUGAAAAAUAUUAUGAAUAAAAUAAUUCAAAAUACAACUUUCAACAACGGAUCUCUUGGCUCUC